Molecule: ribosomal RNA, 492 nt
Filed under: uncultured bacterium
Lineage: Bacteria
Description: partial 16S ribosomal RNA
Rfam family: Bacterial small subunit ribosomal RNA
Source: RNAcentral
AGCGAACGCUGGCGGUAGGCCUAACACAUGCAAGUCGAACGGCAGCACAGUAAGAGCUUGCUCUUACGGGUGGCGAGUGGCGGACGGGUGAGGAAUACAUCGGAAUCUACUUUUUCGUGGGGGAUAACGUAGGGAAACUUACGCUAAUACCGCAUACGACCUACGGGUGAAAGCAGGGGAUCUUCGGACCUUGCGCGAUUGAAUGAGCCGAUGUCGGAUUAGCUAGUUGGCGGGGUAAAGGCCCACCAAGGCGACGAUCCGUGGCUGGUCUGAGAGGAUGAUCAGCCACACUGGAACUGAGACACGGUCCAGACUCCUACGGGAGGCAGCAGUGGGGAAUAUUGGACAAUGGGCGCAAGCCUGAUCCAGCCAUACCGCGUGGGUGAAGAAGGCCUUCGGGUUGUAAAGCCCUUUUGUUGGGAAAGAAAAGCAGCAGGUUAAUACCCCGCUGUUCUGACGGUACCCAAAGAAUAAGCACCGGCUAACUUCGUG